This 246-nucleotide ribosomal RNA is filed under the name uncultured bacterium. RNAcentral's name for it is "partial 16S ribosomal RNA". It matches the Rfam family "Bacterial small subunit ribosomal RNA", at positions 526 to 771 of the family's 1533-position model. The record is from RNAcentral.
CGAAGGGGGCUAGCGUUGCUCGGAAUUACUGGGCGUAAAGCGCACGUAGGCGGACUCUUAAGUCGGUGGUGAAAUCCUGGAGCUCAACUCCAGAACUGCCUUCGAUACUGGGAGUCUUGAGUUCGGGAGAGGUGAGUGGAACUGCGAGUGUAGAGGUGAAAUUCGUAGAUAUUCGCAAGAACACCAGUGGCGAAGGCGGCUCACUGGCCCGAUACUGACGCUGAGGUGCGAAAGCGUGGGGAGCAA